GAUGAACGCUGGCGGCGUGCUUAACACAUGCAAGUCGAACGGAAAGGCUCCUGCUUGCAGGGGUACUCGAGUGGCGAACGGGUGAGUAACACGUGGGUGAUCUGCCCUGCACUUCGGGAUAAGCCUGGGAAACUGGGUCUAAUACCGGAUAGGACGAUGGUUUGGAUGCCAUUGUGGAAAGUUUUUUCGGUGUGGGAUAAGCUCGCGGCCUAUCAGCUUGUUGGUGGGGUAAUGGCCUACCAAGGCGUCGACGGGUAGCCGGCCUGAGAGGGUGUACGGCCACAUUGGGACUGAGAUACGGCCCAGACUCCUACGGGAGGCAGCAGUGGGGAAUAUUGCACAAUGGGCGCAAGCCUGAUGCAGCGACGCCGCGUGGGGGAUGACGGCCUUCGGGUUGUAAACUCCUUCCGCUAGGGACGAAGCGCAAGUGACGGUACCUGGAGAAGAAGCACCGGCUAACUACGUG
RNAcentral lists this ribosomal RNA (466 nucleotides) under uncultured bacterium. RNAcentral describes it as "partial 16S ribosomal RNA". It matches the Rfam family "Bacterial small subunit ribosomal RNA", at positions 28 to 507 of the family's 1533-position model. The record is from RNAcentral.